RNAcentral lists this ribosomal RNA (376 nucleotides) under uncultured bacterium. RNAcentral describes it as "bacterial SSU rRNA". It matches the Rfam family "Bacterial small subunit ribosomal RNA", at positions 362 to 758 of the family's 1533-position model. The record is from RNAcentral.
UAUUGGACAAUGGGCGAAAGCCUGAUCCAGCCAUGCCGCGUGAGUGAAGAAGGCCUUCGGGUUGUAAAGCUCUUUCGACGGGGAAGAUGAUGACGGUACCCGUAUAAGAAGCCCCGGCUAACUUCGUGCCAGCAGCCGCGGUAAUACGAAGGGGGCUAGCGUUGUUCGGAAUUACUGGGCGUAAAGCGAACGUAGGCGGUGUUCCAUGUCAGAGGUGAAAGCCUGGGGCUCAACUCCAGAAUUGCCUUUGAAACGGGGACGCUUGAGUCCGAGAGAGGGUGGCGGAAUUCCUAGUGUAGAGGUGAAAUUCGUAGAUAUUAGGAAGAACACCAGUGGCGAAGGCGGCCACCUGCACGGUACUGACGUCAGGUCGAAA